This 253-nucleotide ribosomal RNA is filed under the name uncultured bacterium. Its description in RNAcentral is "partial 16S ribosomal RNA". It matches the Rfam family "Bacterial small subunit ribosomal RNA", at positions 524 to 776 of the family's 1533-position model. The record is from RNAcentral.
UACGGAGGGUGCAAGCGUUAUCCGGAUUCACUGGGGUUAAAGGGUGCGUAGGUGGGUUGAUAAGUCAGUGGUGAAAUCCCCGAGCUUAACUUGGGAACUGCCAUUGAUACUAUUGAUCUUGAAUACCGUGGAGGUCAGCGGAAUAUGUCAUGUAGCGGUGAAAUGCUUAGAUAUGACAUAGAACACCAAUUGCGAAGGCAGCUGGCUAGGCGAAUAUUGACACUGAUGCACGAAAGCGUGGGGAUCAAUCAGG